RNAcentral lists this transfer RNA (68 nucleotides) under Ovis aries (sheep). It matches the Rfam family "tRNA". Rfam says of the family: Transfer RNA (tRNA) molecules are approximately 80 nucleotides in length. Lineage: Eukaryota; Metazoa; Chordata; Mammalia; Artiodactyla; Bovidae. The record is from Rfam by way of RNAcentral.
CCUGGUGGCUCAGUGGUAAAGAUUCUGCCUGCAAUGCAGGAGAUGUGGGUUUGAUCCCCACGUCAGGA